Spinacia oleracea (spinach) is the source of this 1155-nucleotide long non-coding RNA. RefSeq lists it as uncharacterized. The record is from RefSeq and is a predicted model, not a curated record. The transcript is spliced from 5 exons. NCBI's taxonomy places the organism in Eukaryota, Viridiplantae, Streptophyta, Magnoliopsida, Caryophyllales, Amaranthaceae.
UAAAACAUAAACUCAUAUGUUGUAGUCUUCAUGUUGCACCUUUAGAAGCUUCACUCGAAGACUUCCCAAUUUGUUCCUUCUCUGGAACGCCGAGGAUCCACAUAAUAUAUGAGGAUCUCGCCUUAGGAACUCGCCUAAGGAUCUCGCCUUGCUUAAUGAUUAUUUGUUCAAUGUAGUGUCUGAUAUGGAUCAAUUACUUGCUUAUAUUCCACGUUGCUUAGUUUAUCCAACUCAGGAUCUCCUUAACUUAGCAUUAUCCCUCUAAGGAUCUCGGAACCUAUUAUGCAACAUAACUUAACCAAUUGUCAGGAGUUUGCUUUGUCAUCAUCAAAACUUUAGGGUCAACAAGAAUCAUCACCUUACGCAUAGCUUGAGAGGUAGUUGAAUAUGUGAAGUGUCAACUGCUGGAGUAUCCUGAGGCUAGGCAUUUGUAAGAGGUUGUUGCGGGUAUUGACUCGUUGGUAAUUGGUGGGAUUCAUGGGUUCUCUGUUUGGUGGGAUUCAUAGAUUCAUGGUAAUUGGUGGGAUUCAUUGGUAAUUGAUGUGCGUGUUGACUCAUUGGUUGUUCUAGGGAAAAGAUUGGAGGCCAGGGUUAGGGCUACAGAGAGAUUCAAAUGAGAAGAUUUUCUGGUUAGAAAUAAGAAGACAAGAGAGCACCACAUUUGAAAAGAUAAGGCUACUAGCAACAUAUGUACUGCUCAGUAUUUGACCCAGUUGGUCUUAGUUGUGGUCUUAUAUUCUGCUAUAUGUGUGGCUGCAAUGCUUCAUCUGUGACUAUAGUUGAAGGACUUCAAGCGGCAUCUCCAUAGGAGAAGUGUCCUUGUGCCGAGAGAGGGAUGUGAUUGUUUGCAGAGUACUAUAAGUUGUGGCAUUAACCUCAUCUAUCUAUGCAUAUUGCUCGCACCUAUUAGAAUUGGAACAAAACAUCCGUCACACCGGAAUUACCAAAUUGAGAUGUAAUCUGUUACCGCUUAAACGACAUUCAUGUAUUUAAUUUAUACAUAUUAGCACUCUUUAGAGAAACAUUAAUUAGAGGAGUGAGCACGAGACUUUCACAUUAGCUUUUAUUAUUUUUAUUUUUUCAGAUUCUUCUUAAUACUUUUUCAAACUUAUCUAAUUUUUUCACUUCACCCAUGCUCAUUCAAGACUUGUGAAA